RNAcentral lists this ribosomal RNA (278 nucleotides) under uncultured bacterium. RNAcentral's name for it is "partial 16S ribosomal RNA". It matches the Rfam family "Bacterial small subunit ribosomal RNA", at positions 506 to 784 of the family's 1533-position model. The record is from RNAcentral.
UGCCAGCAGCCGCGGUAAUACGGAAGGUGCAAGCGUUAAUCGGAAUUAUUGGGCGUAAAGGGCGCGUAGGCGGAAGAGAAAGUUUGGUGUGAAAUUCCGGGGCUUAACCCCGGACUGCACCGAAAACUUCUUUUCUUGAGGAUAGGCGGAGAAAACGGAAUUCCAUGUGUAGCGGUGGAAUGCGUAGAUAUAUGGAAGAACACCGGUGGCGAAAGCGGUUUUCUAGCUUAUUCCUGACGCUGAGGCGCGAAAGCAAGGGGAGCAAACAGGAUUAGAUA